This 41-nucleotide small RNA is filed under the name Salix viminalis (osier). The record is from RNAcentral. Lineage: Eukaryota; Viridiplantae; Streptophyta; Magnoliopsida; Malpighiales; Salicaceae.
UGGAAGAAGCUCUAGAAGCUUCUAGAUACGCGAGCCAUCCU